This 465-nucleotide ribosomal RNA is filed under the name Vreelandella stevensii. RNAcentral's name for it is "partial 16S ribosomal RNA". It matches the Rfam family "Bacterial small subunit ribosomal RNA", at positions 338 to 795 of the family's 1533-position model. Lineage: Bacteria; Pseudomonadati; Pseudomonadota; Gammaproteobacteria; Oceanospirillales; Halomonadaceae. The record is from RNAcentral.
CCUACGGGGGGCUGCAGUGGGGAAUAUUGGACAAUGGGGGGAACCCUGAUCCAGCCAUGCCGCGUGUGUGAAGAAGGCCCUCGGGUUGUAAAGCACUUUCAGUGAGGAAGAACGCCUGGUGGUUAAUACCCAUCAGGAAAGACAUCACUCACAGAAGAAGCACCGGCUAACUCCGUGCCAGCAGCCGCGGUAAUACGGAGGGUGCGAGCGUUAAUCGGAAUUACUGGGCGUAAAGCGCGCGUAGGUGGCUUGAUAAGCCGGUUGUGAAAGCCCCGGGCUCAACCUGGGAACGGCAUCCGGAACUGUCAAGCUAGAGUGCAGGAGAGGAAGGUAGAAUUCCCGGUGUAGCGGUGAAAUGCGUAGAGAUCGGGAGGAAUACCAGUGGCGAAGGCGGCCUUCUGGACUGACACUGACACUGAGGUGCGAAAGCGUGGGUAGCAAACAGGGUUAGAUACCCGUGUAGUC